This 465-nucleotide ribosomal RNA is filed under the name uncultured bacterium. Its description in RNAcentral is "partial 16S ribosomal RNA". It matches the Rfam family "Bacterial small subunit ribosomal RNA", at positions 28 to 507 of the family's 1533-position model. The record is from RNAcentral.
GACGAACGCUGGCGGCGUGCUUAACACAUGCAAGUCGAACGGAAAGGCCCUGCUUGCAGGGUACUCGAGUGGCGAACGGGUGAGUAACACGUGGGUGAUCUGCCCUGCACUUCGGGAUAAGCCUGGGAAACUGGGUCUAAUACCGGAUAGGAGCCAUUUUUAGUGUGAUGGUUGGAAAGUUUUUUCGGUGUAGGAUGAGCUCGCGGCCUAUCAGCUUGUUGGUGGGGUAAUGGCCUACCAAGGCGGCGACGGGUAGCCGGCCUGAGAGGGUGGACGGCCACAGUGGGACUGAGAUACGGCCCAGACUCCUACGGGAGGCAGCAGUGGGGAAUAUUGCACAAUGGGCGCAAGCCUGAUGCAGCGACGCCGCGUGGGGGAGGACGGCCUUCGGGUUGGAAACUCAUUUCGCUAGGGACGAAGCUUUUUGUGACGGUACCUAGAUAAGAAGCACCGGCUAACUACGUG